This 736-nucleotide ribosomal RNA is filed under the name Agrococcus sp. Its description in RNAcentral is "bacterial SSU rRNA". It matches the Rfam family "Bacterial small subunit ribosomal RNA", at positions 73 to 823 of the family's 1533-position model. Lineage: Bacteria; Bacillati; Actinomycetota; Actinomycetes; Micrococcales; Microbacteriaceae. The record is from RNAcentral.
GGGGAGCUUGCUCCUCCGGAUUAGUGGCGAACGGGUGAGUAAUACGUGAGCAAUGUGCCCUUGACUCUGGGAUAAGCGCUGGAAACGGCGUCUAAUACCGGAUACGACCAUCGGAGGCAUCUCCUUUGGUGGAAAGAACUUCGGUCAAGGAUCAGCUCACGGCCUAUCAGCUUGUUGGUGAGGUAACGGCUCACCAAGGCGACGACGGGUAGCCGGCCUGAGAGGGUGACCGGCCACACUGGGACUGAGACACGGCCCAGACUCCUACGGGAGGCAGCAGUGGGGAAUAUUGCACAAUGGGCGCAAGCCUGAUGCAGCAACGCCGCGUGAGGGACGAAGGCCUUCGGGUUGUAAACCUCUUUUAGCAGGGAAGAAGCGAGAGUGACGGUACCUGCAGAAAAAGCACCGGCUAACUACGUGCCAGCAGCCGCGGUAAUACGUAGGGUGCAAGCGUUGUCCGGAAUUAUUGGGCGUAAAGAGCUCGUAGGCGGUCUGUCGCGUCUGCUGUGAAAACCCGAGGCUCAACCUCGGGCUUGCAGUGGGUACGGGCAGACUAGAGUGCGGUAGGGGAGAUUGGAAUUCCUGGUGUAGCGGUGGAAUGCGCAGAUAUCAGGAGGAACACCGAUGGCGAAGGCAGAUCUCUGGGCCGUAACUGACGCUGAGGAGCGAAAGCAUGGGGAGCAAACAGGCUUAGAUACCCUGGUAGUCCAUGCCGUAAACGUUGGGAACUAGAUGU